CGGCGGACGGGUGAGUAACACGUGGGUAACCUACCUAUAAGACUGGGACAACUUCGGGAAACCGGAGCUAAUACCGGAUAAGAUAUCGAACCGCAUGGUUCGAUAGUGAAAGAUGGUUUUGCUAUCACUUAUAGAUGGACCCGCGCCGUAUUAGCUAGUUGGUGAGGUAACGGCUCACCAAGGCAACGAUACGUAGCCGACCUGAGAGGGUGAUCGGCCACACUGGAACUGAGACACGGUCCAGACUCCUACGGGAGGCAGCAG
RNAcentral lists this ribosomal RNA (264 nucleotides) under uncultured Staphylococcus sp. RNAcentral describes it as "partial 16S ribosomal RNA". It matches the Rfam family "Bacterial small subunit ribosomal RNA", at positions 96 to 354 of the family's 1533-position model. Lineage: Bacteria; Bacillati; Bacillota; Bacilli; Caryophanales; Staphylococcaceae. The record is from RNAcentral.